GAUGCCUCCCGGCCGCCGUAGGCGAAGGUUCGCGGAAGAGGGGAGCAGGCGCUCACCUGAGGUUCGCCCAAUCCUGGAGCAGUGGGUCCCGGGAGGGAAGAGGGAAGUGGGUCAGGCUCCCGGCCUGUGUUUGUCCAUUCAUUCAUUCAUUGAGGCACGAAUUAAUGUGAUAACCACUUAUUCGUUCAAAAACUGCUGAUUCACCACCCACCAGGUGCCAGGGAGACGGACAAAAUGCACCAAACAAAAUGCACGAAACAGUACCGGAAGCAGUAAUGUCCACGUGUGAUACUUGCCCUGGAGCAAGUAAGGAGGGGACAGGACCAUCUGACUUCGGGGUUGGGCUGCUCUAGGGGUUUGGUGAUAGUCUUAGCUGCCUGUGACCGUCCAUUAGUACUGCCCUGUUCAGGGCAGAUACUGUUCGCUCGCCUCCCAGUAGUUUUUAUAUUG
This 450-nucleotide long non-coding RNA is filed under the name Homo sapiens (human). Its description in RNAcentral is "non-protein coding lnc-CDYL2-6:15". Lineage: Eukaryota; Metazoa; Chordata; Mammalia; Primates; Hominidae. The record is from RNAcentral.